This 498-nucleotide ribosomal RNA is filed under the name uncultured bacterium. RNAcentral's name for it is "partial 16S ribosomal RNA". It matches the Rfam family "Bacterial small subunit ribosomal RNA", at positions 29 to 507 of the family's 1533-position model. The record is from RNAcentral.
AGCGAACGCUGGCGGCGUGCCUAACACAUGCAAGUCGAACGUGAAAAGGGAAACCUGAGUAAAGUGGCGUACGGGUGAGUAACGCGUAGGUAAUCUACCCCAGAAUCUGGAAUAACCUGCCGAAAGGCGGGCUAAUACUGGAUAGAGCGAGGGAACUCGUAAGAGAGUUUUUCGGGAAAGGGAGCCCGCAAGGGCCUUCGUUCUGGGAUGAGCCUGCGUCUCAUUAGCUAGUUGGUAAGGUAACGGCUUACCAAGGCGAUGAUGAGUAGCUGGUCUGAGAGGAUGAUCAGCCACACUGGAACUGAAACACGGUCCAGACUCCUACGGGAGGCAGCAGUGGGGAAUCUUGCGCAAUAGACGAAAGUCUGACGCAGCCACGCCGCGGGAGUGAAGAAGGCCUUCGGGUUGUAAAGCUCUGUCGGAUGGGACGAACAUCUUCAUAGUGAAUAGCUAUGAGGACUGACGGUACCAUCAAAGGAAGCACCGGCUAACUCCGUG